GAUGAAGAACGGAGCGAAAUGCGAUAAGUAAUGUGAAUUGCAGAAUUCAGUGAAUCAUCGAAUCUUUGAACGCACAUUGCGCCCGCCUGUAUUCUGGCGGGCAUGCCUGUUCGAGCGUCAUUUCAACCCUCAAGACCCCUUCGGGGGACUUGGUGUUGGGGACCGGCACAGGGGCCUGCCUGCUUGUCUUGCAGCGCCCUCGCCGCCCCCGAAAUGAAUUGGCGGCCUCGUCGCGGCCUCCCCUGCGUAGUAGCACAAACCUCGCAACGGGAACGUGACGGCGGCCACUGCCGUAAAACAACCCAAUUUUAUUAGAGUUGACCUCGAAUCAGGUAGGAAUACCCGCUGAACUUAAGCAUAUCAAUAAGCGGAGGA
RNAcentral lists this unclassified non-coding RNA (375 nucleotides) under soil metagenome. RNAcentral's name for it is "partial contains 5.8S ribosomal RNA, internal transcribed spacer 2, and large subunit ribosomal RNA". The stretch from base 1 to 120 matches the Rfam family "5.8S ribosomal RNA", at positions 35 to 154 of the family's 154-position model. The record is from RNAcentral.